Molecule: ribosomal RNA, 33 nt
Filed under: Regelia megacephala
Lineage: Eukaryota; Viridiplantae; Streptophyta; Magnoliopsida; Myrtales; Myrtaceae
Description: partial 5.8S ribosomal RNA
Source: RNAcentral
AUAGCGACUCUCGCCAACGGAUAUCUCGGCUCU